This 253-nucleotide ribosomal RNA is filed under the name uncultured bacterium. RNAcentral describes it as "partial 16S ribosomal RNA". It matches the Rfam family "Bacterial small subunit ribosomal RNA", at positions 524 to 776 of the family's 1533-position model. The record is from RNAcentral.
UACAGAGGAUGCAAGCGUUAUCCGGAAUGAUUGGGCGUAAAGCGUCUGUAGGUGGCUUUUUAAGUCCGCCGUCAAAUCCCAGGGCUCAACUCUGGACAGGCGGUGGAAACUACCAAGCUGGAGUACGGUAGGGGCAGAGGGAAUUUCCGGUGGAGCGGUGAAAUGCGUAGAGAUCGGAAAGAACACCGAUGGCGAAGGCACUUUACUGGGCUAUUACUAACACUGAGAGACGAAAGCUAGGGUAGCAAAUGGG